Molecule: transfer RNA, 76 nt
Filed under: Anaerolineae bacterium
Lineage: Bacteria; Bacillati; Chloroflexota; Anaerolineae
Description: tRNA-Trp
Rfam family: tRNA
About the family: Transfer RNA (tRNA) molecules are approximately 80 nucleotides in length.
Source: RNAcentral
AGGCCAGUAGCUCAAUGGGCAGAGCAACGGUCUCCAAAACCGUAGGUUGCGGGUUCAAGUCCUGCCUGGCCUGCCA